RNAcentral lists this ribosomal RNA (391 nucleotides) under uncultured bacterium. RNAcentral describes it as "partial 16S ribosomal RNA". It matches the Rfam family "Bacterial small subunit ribosomal RNA", at positions 523 to 916 of the family's 1533-position model. The record is from RNAcentral.
AUACGGAAGGUCCGGGCGUUAUCCGGAUUUAUUGGGUUUAAAGGGAGCGCAGGCGGAGAUGCAAGCGUGACGUCAAAUUUCGGGGCUCAACCCCGUCUCGCGUCGCGAACUGCGUCCCUUGGUUGCGGGAAGGGGAGGCGGAACUCGUGGUGUAGCGGGGAAAUGCAUAGAUAUCACGAAGAACUCCGAUCGCGAAGGCAGCCUUCCGGCCCGUCAACGACGCUCAUGCUCGAAGGUGCGGGUAUCAAACAGGAUUAGAUACCCUGGUAGUCCGCACAGUAAACGAUGGACACCCGCGGUUUGGCCUGUAUGGCUGAGCCGCCAAGCGAAAGCGUUAAGUGUCCCACCUGGGGAGUACGCCGGCAACGGUGAAACUCAAAGGAAUUGACGG